This is a non-coding RNA of Podarcis lilfordi (Lilford's wall lizard), 137 nucleotides long. Lineage: Eukaryota; Metazoa; Chordata; Lepidosauria; Squamata; Lacertidae. The record is from the annotation of a GenBank genome assembly.
UGUCCAGUAGCACCUUGGAGACCAACUAAGUUUGUUCUGGCUAUAAGCUUUCGUGCGCAGUAUCUGAAGAAGUGUGCAUGCACACAAUAGCUUAUACCCAGAACAAACUUAGUUGGUCUCUAAGGUGCUACUGGACA